UCACUCCUUGCGGAGGCAGUGUCCCCAGAGUGCCCGGCUAGAACCGAUGGCAACUAGGGAAAGGGGUUGCGCUCGUUAUGGCACUUAAGCCGACACCUCACGGCACGAGCUGACGACAACCAUGCAGCACCUUCACAGAGGCCCCGAAGGGCAUCACCAUCUCUGGAUCUUUCCUCUGCAAUUCAAGCCCGGGUAAGGUUCCUCGCGUAUCAUCGAAUUAAACCACAUGUUCCUCCGCUUGUGCGGGCCCCCGUCAAUUCCUUUGAGUUUCACCGUUGCCGGCGUACUCCCCAGGUGGGAUGCUUAACGCUUUCGCUUGGCCGCCGACUGUAUAUCGCCGACAGCGGGCAUCCAUCGUUUACCGCGCGGACUAC
This 374-nucleotide unclassified non-coding RNA is filed under the name uncultured Prevotellaceae bacterium. Its description in RNAcentral is "contains 16S-23S intergenic spacer region". Lineage: Bacteria; Pseudomonadati; Bacteroidota; Bacteroidia; Bacteroidales; Prevotellaceae. The record is from RNAcentral.